This 1507-nucleotide long non-coding RNA is filed under the name Calidris pugnax (ruff). RNAcentral's name for it is "lncRNA (ENSCPUG00000001136.1)". Lineage: Eukaryota; Metazoa; Chordata; Aves; Charadriiformes; Scolopacidae. The record is from RNAcentral.
UAUAAACCAGUAUAACCCAGUAUAACCCCCUAUAACCCAGUAUAGCCCAGUAUAGCCCAGUAUAGCAGGACCAGACCUGUGCAGCCCAGCACCCUCCUCCCAGUAUAACCCAGUACAGCCCAGUACAGCCCAGUAUAAACCCGUCCAGCCCAGUAUAGACCCAGUACAGCCCAGUAUAAACCCAUCCAGCCCAGUCCGGGGCAGUCCAGUCUCCAGUAUAAACCAGUCCAACCCAGUGCCACCCCAGUACAGCCCAGUCCAGGGCAGUCCAGCCCCCAGUAUAACACCCUUCAGCCCAGUCCAACCCAGUAUAACCGUGCCCAAGCCCAGUAUAAACCAGUGCAGACCCAGUAUGAUCCUGUCCAAACCCAUCCAGCCCAGUAUAGACCCAGUACAACCCAGUCUGGAGUAGUCCAGCCCCCAGUAUAACCCAGUUCGCACCAGUCCAACCCAGUAUAACCCUGCCCAAGCCCAGUCUGACCCAGUCCAGUGCAGCACAGCCCCCAGUUUGUCCCAGUAUAGCCCAGUUCACCCUAGGUAGACCCAGUAGAGCGCAGUACAACUCCCAGUUUAAUCCCAGUAUACCCCAGUCCAGCUCAGUAUAGACCCAGUAUAGGCCCCUAGUCUAACCCAGUACACCCCAGUCUAGCCCAAUAUAGACCCAGCAGAGUGCAGUAUGGCUCCCAGUUUAUCCCAGUAUAGCCCAGUCCACCCCAGUAUACCCCCUUCCAGCCCAAUAUGGCUCCAUCAGAGUGCACUAUGGCUCCCAGUUUAUCCCAGUAUAGCCCAGUCCAGUCCAGUAUAGGCCCAACAGAAUGCAGUAUGGCUCCCAGUUUAUCCCAGUAUAGCCCAGUCCACCCCAGUAUGGCCCCUAGUCUAGCCCAGUACACCCCAGUAUACCCCAGUCCAGCCCAAUAUGGAUCCAUCAGAGUGCACUAUGGCUCCCAGUUUAUCCCAGUACAGCCCAGUUUAUCCCAGUAUAGGCCCAGUAGUAUGCGGUAUGGCUCCCAGUUCAUCCCAGUCUACCCAGUUUAUUCCAGCCCAGCCUAGUCCAGAGCCAGUCCAAUGCAGUAAGGCCCCCAGUACACCCCAGUUUAUCCCAGUAUAGCCCAGUUUAUCCCAGUAUAGGCCCAGUAGUAUGCGGUAUGGCUCCCAGUUCAUCCCAGUAUAGCCCAGUUUAUCCCAGUCCAGCCCAGUCCAGAGCCAGUCCAAUGCACUAAGGCCCCCAGUUUAUCCCAGUAUAGCCCAGUAUAGACCCAGUCCCCCCCCCCCCCCCCAGCUCCGCCUCCUUCCCCUCACUUUGGGGCGAAAACCUCUCUUUUCGGGCAAGACAACUUUUUCCUCCCGCAGCGACGUGGCGGGCGGCAGCCAAUGGGCGCGCGGCGCCGGCCGCCCCCACGUGGGCUCGGCGACUUCUGAUUGGUCGAGAGGGCUGAAGGGGCGGGGCGAGGCCGGGCCUGGGAGGGGCCGGGGGCAUUUUGGGGCGUUUAGGGGUGAUUUAAUACCA